RNAcentral lists this ribosomal RNA (391 nucleotides) under uncultured bacterium. RNAcentral's name for it is "bacterial SSU rRNA". It matches the Rfam family "Bacterial small subunit ribosomal RNA", at positions 28 to 420 of the family's 1533-position model. The record is from RNAcentral.
GACGAACGCUGGCGGCGUGCUUAACACAUGCAAGUCGAGCGGUAAGGCCCUUUCGGGGGUACACGAGCGGCGAACGGGUGAGUAACACGUGGGUGACCUGCCCUCAGCUCUGGGAUAAGCCUGGGAAACCGGGUCUAAUACUGGAUAUGACUCCAUGACGCAUGUUGUGGGGUGGAAAGCCUUGUGCGGCUGAGGAUGGACCCGCGGCCUAUCAGCUUGUUGGUGGGGUGAUGGCCUACCAAGGCGACGACGGGUAGCCGGCCUGAGAGGGCGACCGGCCACACUGGGACUGAGACACGGCCCAGACUCCUACGGGAGGCAGCAGUGGGGAAUCUUGCGCAAUGGGCGAAAGCCUGACGCAGCGACGCCGCGUGAGGGAUGACGGCCUCGG